This 321-nucleotide ribosomal RNA is filed under the name uncultured eukaryote. RNAcentral's name for it is "partial 18S ribosomal RNA". It matches the Rfam family "Eukaryotic small subunit ribosomal RNA", at positions 1470 to 1796 of the family's 1831-position model. The record is from RNAcentral.
CCCUUAGAUGUCCUGGGCCGCACGCGCGCUACACUGACAUGUUCAACAAACCUCCUAGUUCGACAGGAUUUGGGAAAUCUUUGAACGCAUGUCGUGAUAGGGAUAGAUCAUUGCAAUUAUUGAUCUUGAACGAGGAAUUCCUAGUAAACGCGAGUCAUCAGCUCGCAUUGAUUACGUCCCUGCCCUUUGUACACACCGCCCGUCGCACCUACCGAUUGAAUGUUUCGGUGAAGAUUCCGGAUAGGACUUUUUUGAUUUAUUUCAAUUUUGUCUUAAAAGCUAUCUAAACCUCAACAUUUAGAGGAAGGUGAAGUCGUAACA